RNAcentral lists this ribosomal RNA (253 nucleotides) under Blautia obeum. RNAcentral's name for it is "partial 16S ribosomal RNA". It matches the Rfam family "Bacterial small subunit ribosomal RNA", at positions 524 to 776 of the family's 1533-position model. The record is from RNAcentral. Lineage: Bacteria; Bacillati; Bacillota; Clostridia; Lachnospirales; Lachnospiraceae. RNAcentral also lists the same sequence under 2 other names.
UACGUAGGGGGCAAGCGUUAUCCGGAUUUACUGGGUGUAAAGGGAGCGUAGACGGACUGGCAAGUCUGAUGUGAAAGGCGGGGGCUCAACCCCUGGACUGCAUUGGAAACUGUUAGUCUUGAGUGCCGGAGAGGUAAGCGGAAUUCCUAGUGUAGCGGUGAAAUGCGUAGAUAUUAGGAGGAACACCAGUGGCGAAGGCGGCUUACUGGACGGUAACUGACGUUGAGGCUCGAAAGCGUGGGGAGCAAACAGG